UUUUGCCGAAAGGCGAGAGUGCUUUAUUGAGCCAAGUGACAGGUGUUGCAUGGCCGUCGUCAGCUCGUGUCGUGAGAUGUUUGGUUAAGUCCAUCAACGAGCGCAACCCUUAUGGUCUGUUGUAUUUUUCAGGCCAGACUGCCCCGGUAACGGGGAGGAAGGGGGGGAUGAUGUCAGGUCAGUAUUACCCUUACAUCUGGGGCUACAAACACGCUACAAUGGCCGGUACAAAGGGCAGCUAACCCGCGAGGGGGAGCAAAUCCCAUCAAAGCCGGUCUCAGUUCGGAUUGCAGGCUGAAACUCGCCUGCUUGAAGUCGGAAUCGCUAGUAACGGUAGGUCAGCUAUACUACCGUGAAUACGUUCCCGGGUCUUGUACACACCGCCCGUCAAACCAUGAAAGUCACCAAUACCUGACGUGUUGCCUUCGCGCAGCCCUAAGGUAGGGGGGAUGAUUGGGGUUAAGUCGUAACAAGGUAUCCGUACGGGAACGUGCGGAUGGAUUACCUCCUUU
Molecule: ribosomal RNA, 512 nt
Filed under: Candidatus Saccharimonadota bacterium
Lineage: Bacteria; Candidatus Saccharimonadota
Description: bacterial SSU rRNA
Rfam family: Bacterial small subunit ribosomal RNA
Source: RNAcentral